RNAcentral lists this unclassified non-coding RNA (2028 nucleotides) under Hevea brasiliensis (rubber tree). The record is from RNAcentral. Lineage: Eukaryota; Viridiplantae; Streptophyta; Magnoliopsida; Malpighiales; Euphorbiaceae.
AGCUAAUUGAUAUUAAGGAUUCAAUUCAAAACAUACUAAAAAUUUCAAUUAAACGAAUUAUUAACGAUUUGAUUAACCGCACUAUGAUCGCCAAAAUGAUAAUCACUCCUACUCUGAGCAACUAAUCACCCAUAAAAAGAAGCCCCACUAGCUACAACUAUACACCUACAGUUUGAGCAGACCUAAGCGAAAAAUAUUCUAAAAAUAAUCCAUAUAGCCAAGCAGCAUCAACAAAUGAAAUUCAGUGGGGCUUUGAUCAUUCACCACUUGACGAUCAUGGGUGCUAUCAAACACAUUUGGUGAUUUUACAUGAUUCUGUGAACCGCUUGAUGUAUACAUGGGUGGUCCAUAAAAACUAUCAAACGUAUGAGGUGAUUUUACAUGAUUCUGUGGACUACUCGAUGUACAUAGGUAACCAUAAUAUAUGGUGAUGCGAGGUCAAGGAACUCACAUUACCAAGCAGGAGCCAAACACCAAGCCCCUCAAACUAUCAAUUACUACAAAAAUUGUUUAAACCUAAAUGAAGAUGCUGACUAUUGAUUUUUUGGCUGGUUGACACAGAAAUUCUCUUCAGGCUGUCUUUGCCACAAAUAAUUUGCAGCCUCUAUCCACCGUGGAUGAACCAAAAACUUCUUGUUCUUCAGAGCCCAACGAGACUUCUCGGUCCCAGCUUCUUGGGACACCACAUGUGUAACUGAUGGGUCGAGUUCUCUGGAGCACGUGGCUCCCAAUUGCUCAGCCAUUUUCCAGAGAUGAUGGUUUUCAGCCUGAAACUGGGAAGGAAAAACUCGACUAAAGACAAUUUUACAUCCCUUCAGCACAUCCUUACGAACAGUUUUCAAAACCUGUCUCACAUCUCUGCCAUCAAGAUUAUCCACCAGCUCGUCGAAGAACAUAUGGUGAAUUUUCCUCAACACUUUAAGAACAGAUGCAAGUGCUCCAUCAGAGUCACUCUCAUCACUCUUUAGCUCUGAAAGUGAUUUACAAUUGAAGCCAAAUUGGCGACAACUUGAAGCGAAAAAAUGAUAUCUUUCCAUCAAUAUCAAAUUGUCUUUGUGCUUUGUCCAUGCAGUUUCUGUAUCAUCAAGGAUCAGAACAGCACUUUCUUGCCCCAGAACAAUAUCAAGACCUUUUUGAUUUCUUUGAGUUCCAUCAUCACGUGAAAUAACUCUAGCAUUGAAGUACUCUCUUCUAGGGUCAAGUAGCUUAGCCAUUUCCAGCGCAUAUGCUCUAUCACCCAUCGUGUAUAUGUACAUCUCAAACAUUUGACUUGCUUCCUUGAGAAAUGUGCGUACAAAGGGCCUUAACUUGGUCAUCAUGUGCAUGAAGUCCAACAUGAACAGGCUACCAUUUGAAACAUCUUGCAGAGAAUCUAUUUGACUCUUCAAAUAUUCCUCCUCUAAUGUCAUAUGCAUGAGCUGAGUAGAAUUAAGCAAUGUAUGGUCUAAAUCAAGAACCAAGUAAAGCUUUUUGUGGCAUAACAGAUUCUUCACAUCUGUGUUACGUAACCGCAUAAUUUCAUCAUUGCCAAGCCUUAAUCCCUUAUGUAUGUAUCCAAAUGUGACACCAGUUUCCUCAUUCAACUUUUGCCCACAGAGUAUACACAUGUCUCCAAAAGAUCCUGGAUGUAUGCAGGCAUCCUUACUUGAGGAUGCUCCUAAGUUCUGCUCUAGGGAUCCAUUAGACGUUGAUCGUUUAGGAUCUUCUAUGUUCUCCAAUUUCUCCACCCUAGACCUUUUUAUCCUUUGGUUUUCAGUGUCAGAAUCAUUCUCAGCUUCUUCAUUUGUCGAUGAAUCUGAAGAAUCAGAAUCAAAUUCACCCUUAGCUCCUUCUUCAUUCGGUGAUGAGUCUGAAGAUUUAGAAUCCAACUCUGCAUCAAGAAAAGCUGCAAAGUCAUCGCUACUAGACGAGUGUACAGGAGAAUCAGUCACCAGACUCAUAUAGUCAGCGAAGCGGCUGGAUCGAUUGUUGAUUAUGUCCUGCAAUUGAAAAAGAUUUUGGGAACCCUAGGUCCUAAGUCUCGACCCU